RNAcentral lists this microRNA precursor (100 nucleotides) under Dasypus novemcinctus (nine-banded armadillo). RNAcentral's name for it is "mir-584 microRNA precursor family". It matches the Rfam family "mir-584 microRNA precursor family". The record is from Rfam by way of RNAcentral. Lineage: Eukaryota; Metazoa; Chordata; Mammalia; Cingulata; Dasypodidae.
UAGGGCAACCAGCUGUCCCGGUUUGCCCAGGACUUGCACAGUUUUUGUAGGAAACCUUUUGGUCCUGGCAAGCUGGGACAGCUGGUCACCCUAAAGCCCA